AACCAUAGAAACCUGCGGAGUACCUGCGGAGGGAUCAUUAGAAGAAGAGGGAUCGAUCCCGACGAACGUGGGGAAUCGAUCCGAAUCCACAUCCACCCCGUGUGCACUCAUCGACCGUUUGCUUUGGCAGGAAAGGAGCCUCCGUUCCGGAGGUGCCGGGAGGACACGCGUGUAAUAUUAUGUACGAUAUUGUAUGCGUAGCCUCGGCCUGCCGGAGUUUUUUUUCCCUCAAACUCGCGC
RNAcentral lists this unclassified non-coding RNA (240 nucleotides) under soil metagenome. RNAcentral describes it as "partial contains 5.8S ribosomal RNA, internal transcribed spacer 2, and large subunit ribosomal RNA". The record is from RNAcentral.